GUAACUUCCAGUUUGCUUCAGGGUUAUAACGAAGUAUAAUAACAGCGCUAAAAUCGGAUUAAUUACCACCCCAGAUAUGAUUCAAGUAUGCUGAUGGUAUGUUUUGAGAACAUUACUUCCAUCAAGAUCAUCACUAGAAUUGGUUUGGCUGCUAGUACACCCAGGACAGUAAGUGGACAGUGAUGGACAACUAGUGCUGGUCGACAGACCACCGUUUGCUGGACAGCUUUCGUUUAUUGGACCGCAAUUUUGGUUGGACCAUGAGUGUUGGUUAAACACCUAUUAAUACUUGGACUCCAUGCUUGUUUUUCCGCGGGAAAUUAUCUGGAAAUCGACGAGACGUUCCGAAUAAUCGCUGUCACUAAAAACCGACAAGAACCAACAACAACAGAAAAGAACCCUCAACCUGAA
Mya arenaria is the source of this 411-nucleotide long non-coding RNA. RefSeq lists it as uncharacterized. Lineage: Eukaryota; Metazoa; Mollusca; Bivalvia; Myida; Myidae. The transcript is spliced from 3 exons. The record is from RefSeq and is a predicted model, not a curated record.